Molecule: ribosomal RNA, 253 nt
Filed under: uncultured bacterium
Lineage: Bacteria
Description: partial 16S ribosomal RNA
Rfam family: Bacterial small subunit ribosomal RNA
Source: RNAcentral
UACGUAGGGGGCAAGCGUUGUCCGGAUUUAUUGGGCGUAAAGCGCACGUAGGCGGCCAAGUCAGUCAGGUGUGAAAUACCUCGGCUCAACCGAGGAACUGCGCCUGAUACUGCUUGGCUUGAGGUCCGGAGGGGAGAGUGGAAUUCCGCGUGUAGUGGUGAAAUGCGUAGAGAUGCGGAGGAACACCGGUGGCGAAAGCGACUUUCUGGUCCUUAACUGACGCUGAGGCGCGAAAGCAUGGGGAGCGAACGGG